GACGAACGCUGGCGGCGUGCCUAAUACAUGCAAGUCGAGCGGACUGAAUGGGCGCUUGCUCUUGUUCGGUCAGCGGCGGACGGGUGAGUCACACGUGGGCCACCUGCCCGCAAGACCGGGAUAACUCCGGGAAACCGGCGCUAAUACCGUAUAACCCCCAACACCGCAUGGUCUUUGGUUGAAAUGCGGCGCAAGCUGCCACUUUCGGGUGGUCCCGCGGCGCAUUAGCUAGUUGGUGAGGUAACGGCUCACCCAGGCGACGAUGCGUAGCCGGCCGGAGAGGACGAGCAGCCAGACUGGGAGGGAGACAGGGCCCAGAGGGAUUCAGGAAGGAGCAGGAGGGAAUCGUGAGGAAGGGGCGAAGAACAGAGGGAGAGGGGCGGAGGGAGGGAGGAAGGACGUCGGGUGGGAAAGCACGGUUGUGAGGGAGGAAGGAGCGCCGGUUGAAGAAGGCGGGGGGGUGACGGUACCUGAUGAGGAAGCCCCGGCUAACUACGUG
This 499-nucleotide ribosomal RNA is filed under the name uncultured bacterium. RNAcentral's name for it is "partial 16S ribosomal RNA". It matches the Rfam family "Bacterial small subunit ribosomal RNA", at positions 28 to 507 of the family's 1533-position model. The record is from RNAcentral.